GGGUUGUGAGGUUAAGCGACUAAGCGUACACGGUGGAUGCCCUGGCAGUCAGAGGCGAUGAAGGACGUGCUAAUCUGCGAUAAGCGUCGGUAAGGUGAUAUGAACCGUUAUAACCGGCGAUUUCCGAAUGGGGAAACCCAGUGUGUUUCGACACACUAUCAUUAACUGAAUCCAUAGGUUAAUGAGGCGAACCGGGGGAACUGAAACAUCUAAGUACCCCGAGGAAAAGAAAUCAACCGAGAUUCCCCCAGUAGCGGCGAGCGAACGGGGAGCAGCCCAGAGCCUGAAUCAGUGUGUGUGUUAGUGGAAGCGUCUGGAAAGGCGCGCGAUACAGGGUGACAGCCCCGUACACAAAAAUGCACAUGCUGUGAGCUCGAUGAGUAGGGCGGGACACGUGGUAUCCUGUCUGAAUAUGGGGGGACCAUCCUCCAAGGCUAAAUACUCCUGACUGACCGAUAGUGAACCAGUACCGUGAGGGAAAGGCGAAAAGAACCCCGGCGAGGGGAGUGAAAAAGAACCUGAAACCGUGUACGUACAAGCAGUGGGAGCACGCUUAGGCGUGUGACUGCGUACCUUUUGUAUAAUGGGUCAGCGACUUAUAUUCUGUAGCAAGGUUAACCGAAUAGGGGAGCCGAAGGGAAACCGAGUCUUAACUGGGCGUUAAGUUGCAGGGUAUAGACCCGAAACCCGGUGAUCUAGCCAUGGGCAGGUUGAAGGUUGGGUAACACUAACUGGAGGACCGAACCGACUAAUGUUGAAAAAUUAGCGGAUGACUUGUGGCUGGGGGUGAAAGGCCAAUCAAACCGGGAGAUAGCUGGUUCUCCCCGAAAGCUAUUUAGGUAGCGCCUCGUGAAUUCAUCUCCGGGGGUAGAGCACUGUUUCGGCAAGGGGGUCAUCCCGACUUACCAACCCGAUGCAAACUGCGAAUACCGGAGAAUGUUAUCACGGGAGACACACGGCGGGUGCUAACGUCCGUCGUGAAGAGGGAAACAACCCAGACCGCCAGCUAAGGUCCCAAAGUCAUGGUUAAGUGGGAAACGAUGUGGGAAGGCCCAGACAGCCAGGAUGUUGGCUUAGAAGCAGCCAUCAUUUAAAGAAAGCGUAAUAGCUCACUGGUCGAGUCGGCCUGCGCGGAAGAUGUAACGGGGCUAAACCAUGCACCGAAGCUGCGGCAGCGACACUAUGUGUUGUUGGGUAGGGGAGCGUUCUGUAAGCCUGUGAAGGUGUGCUGUGAGGCAUGCUGGAGGUAUCAGAAGUGCGAAUGCUGACAUAAGUAACGAUAAAGCGGGUGAAAAGCCCGCUCGCCGGAAGACCAAGGGUUCCUGUCCAACGUUAAUCGGGGCAGGGUGAGUCGACCCCUAAGGCGAGGCCGAAAGGCGUAGUCGAUGGGAAACAGGUUAAUAUUCCUGUACUUGGUGUUACUGCGAAGGGGGACGGAGAAGGCUAUGUUGGCCGGGCGACGGUUGUCCCGGUUUAAGCGUGUAGGCUGGUUUUCCAGGCAAAUCCGGAAAAUCAAGGCUGAGGCGUGAUGACGAGGCACUACGGUGCUGAAGCAACAAAUGCCCUGCUUCCAGGAAAAGCCUCUAAGCAUCAGGUAACAUCAAAUCGUACCCCAAACCGACACAGGUGGUCAGGUAGAGAAUACCAAGGCGCUUGAGAGAACUCGGGUGAAGGAACUAGGCAAAAUGGUGCCGUAACUUCGGGAGAAGGCACGCUGAUAUGUAGGUGAAGUCCCUCGCGGAUGGAGCUGAAAUCAGUCGAAGAUACCAGCUGGCUGCAACUGUUUAUUAAAAACACAGCACUGUGCAAACACGAAAGUGGACGUAUACGGUGUGACGCCUGCCCGGUGCCGGAAGGUUAAUUGAUGGGGUUAGCCGCAAGGCGAAGCUCUUGAUCGAAGCCCCGGUAAACGGCGGCCGUAACUAUAACGGUCCUAAGGUAGCGAAAUUCCUUGUCGGGUAAGUUCCGACCUGCACGAAUGGCGUAAUGAUGGCCAGGCUGUCUCCACCCGAGACUCAGUGAAAUUGAACUCGCUGUGAAGAUGCAGUGUACCCGCGGCAAGACGGAAAGACCCCGUGAACCUUUACUAUAGCUUGACACUGAACAUUGAGCCUUGAUGUGUAGGAUAGGUGGGAGGCUUAGAAGUGUGGACGCCAGUCUGCAUGGAGCCGACCUUGAAAUACCACCCUUUAAUGUUUGAUGUUCUAACGUUGACCCGUAAUCCGGGUUGCGGACAGUGUCUGGUGGGUAGUUUGACUGGGGCGGUCUCCUCCUAAAGAGUAACGGAGGAGCACGAAGGUUGGCUAAUCCUGGUCGGACAUCAGGAGGUUAGUGCAAUGGCAUAAGCCAGCUUGACUGCGAGCGUGACGGCGCGAGCAGGUGCGAAAGCAGGUCAUAGUGAUCCGGUGGUUCUGAAUGGAAGGGCCAUCGCUCAACGGAUAAAAGGUACUCCGGGGAUAACAGGCUGAUACCGCCCAAGAGUUCAUAUCGACGGCGGUGUUUGGCACCUCGAUGUCGGCUCAUCACAUCCUGGGGCUGAAGUAGGUCCCAAGGGUAUGGCUGUUCGCCAUUUAAAGUGGUACGCGAGCUGGGUUUAGAACGUCGUGAGACAGUUCGGUCCCUAUCUGCCGUGGGCGCUGGAGAACUGAGGGGGGCUGCUCCUAGUACGAGAGGACCGGAGUGGACGCAUCACUGGUGUUCGGGUUGUCAUGCCAAUGGCACUGCCCGGUAGCUAAAUGCGGAAGAGAUAAGUGCUGAAAGCAUCUAAGCACGAAACUUGCCCCGAGAUGAGUUCUCCCUGACUCCUUGAGAGUCCUGAAGGAACGUUGAAGACGACGACGUUGAUAGGCCGGGUGUGUAAGCGCAGCGAUGCGUUGAGCUAACCGGUACUAAUGAACCGUGAGGCUUAACCUUACAACGCCGAAGGUGUUU
RNAcentral lists this ribosomal RNA (2931 nucleotides) under Escherichia coli. Its description in RNAcentral is "23S ribosomal RNA". It matches the Rfam family "Bacterial large subunit ribosomal RNA". The record is from RNAcentral. Lineage: Bacteria; Pseudomonadati; Pseudomonadota; Gammaproteobacteria; Enterobacterales; Enterobacteriaceae.